This 468-nucleotide ribosomal RNA is filed under the name uncultured bacterium. Its description in RNAcentral is "partial 16S ribosomal RNA". It matches the Rfam family "Bacterial small subunit ribosomal RNA", at positions 28 to 507 of the family's 1533-position model. The record is from RNAcentral.
GACGAACGCUGGCGGCGUGCUUAACACAUGCAAGUCGAACGGAAAGGCCCUGCUUUUGUGGGGUGCUCGAGUGGCGAACGGGUGAGUAACACGUGAGUAACCUGCCCUUGACUUUGGGAUAACUUCAGGAAACUGGGGCUAAUACCGGAUAGGAGCUCUUGCUGCAUGUUGGGGGUUGGAAAGUUUCGGCGGUUGGGGAUGGACUCGCGGCUUAUCAGCUUGUUGGUGUGGUAGUGGCUUACCAAGGCUUUGACGGGUAGCCGGCCUGAGAGGGUGACCGGCGACAUGGGGACUGAGAGACGGACCAGACGGCUACGGGAGGCAGCAGGGGGGAGUAUUGCACAGUGGGCGGAAGCCUGAUGCAGAAACGCCGCGUGCGGGAUGACGGCCUUCGGGGUGUAAACCGCUUUCGACUGUGACGAAGCGUGAGUGACGGUAAUGGGUAAAGAAGCAACGGCUAACUACGUG